GCCUGGUGUGGUGGUGCGCACCUGUAGUCCCAGCUACUUAGGAGGCUGAGGUGAGAGGAUUGCUUUAGCCCAGGAGUCCGAGGCUGCAGUGAGCCUAGAUCGUGCCACUGCACUCCAGCAUGGGCGACAGAGUAAGAUCCCAUCUCUA
Molecule: signal recognition particle RNA, 148 nt
Filed under: Nomascus leucogenys (northern white-cheeked gibbon)
Lineage: Eukaryota; Metazoa; Chordata; Mammalia; Primates; Hylobatidae
Description: Metazoan signal recognition particle RNA
Rfam family: Metazoan signal recognition particle RNA
About the family: The signal recognition particle (SRP) is a universally conserved ribonucleoprotein. It is involved in the co-translational targeting of proteins to membranes.
Source: Rfam by way of RNAcentral